GAUGAACGCUGGCGGCGUGCCUAAUACAUGCAAGUCGAGCGAACGGAUGAGAAGCUUGCUUCUCUGAUGUUAGCGGCGGACGGGUGUGUAACACGUGGAUAACCUACCUAUAAGACUGGGAUAACUUCGGGAAACCGGAGCUAAUACCGGAUAAUAUUUUGAACCGCAUGGUUCAAAAGUGAAAGACGGUCUUGCUGUCACUUAUAGAUGGAUCCGCGCUGCAUUAGCUAGUUGGUAAGGUAACGGCUUACCAAGGCAACGAUGCAUAGCCGACCUGAGAGGGUGAUCGGCCACACUGGAACUGAGACACGGUCCAGACUCCUACGGGAGGCAGCAGUAGGGAAUCUUCCGCAAUGGGCGAAAGCCUGACGGAGCAACGCCGCGUGAGUGAUGAAGGUCUUCGGAUCGUAAAACUCUGUUAUUAGGGAAGAACAUAUGUGUAAGUAACUGUGCACAUCUUGACGGUACCUAAUCAGAAAGCCACGGCUAACUACGUG
This 497-nucleotide ribosomal RNA is filed under the name uncultured bacterium. RNAcentral describes it as "partial 16S ribosomal RNA". It matches the Rfam family "Bacterial small subunit ribosomal RNA", at positions 28 to 507 of the family's 1533-position model. The record is from RNAcentral.